AAACUUUAUUAAAAAAAAUUAUGUGAAUUGAAACAUCUUACUAACAUAAGUAAAAUAAAUCAAACGAGAUAUUGAUAGUAAUGGCGAAUGAACUCAAUAAAAAGGCUAUUUAUAACUUUUGUAAAUUUACUUGAAAAUAACAAAAAGAGGUACAGUCCUGUAAAAGAAAAUUUCAAAAAAAAUAAAUUAUGUAGUACUUAUAAAAAAUUAGUAUGAAUAAAGAAGAACCACCUCCUAAGCCUAAAUCUUUUUUCUAACCAAUAGCGAAUGAGUAUUGUGAAAAAAAGGUGUAAUUUUAUCUAUAAUAGAUAGUAAAAUAGAAUUUGAAUGCCUACAAUUUAUUUGAAGUUAAAUUUUUUAGAAAUUUGAUAACAAAGUACCUUUUGCAUUAUGGAUCAGUAAGUAAUUAAAAAUAGCAAGUUUUACUUUUUAAAGGAAGACAUAAUAAAAAUAUUUAUUAAUAAUUUCUAGUUAUUUUUAAUUGACCCGAAGCUUAGUGAUCUAAUUAUGAACUGGUUGAGUCCACAAUAAAAUGUGGAGGAGGACCUAAGUCGUAUAUGUGGCAAAAUAUUGAUGAGAUUUGUAAUUAGGGGUGAAAGACUAAUCAAACUAAGUUAUAGCUGGUUUUCUGCGAAAAUUAUUUUAGUAAUGCGUUAUAAAAUUUUAAUAUUUGGGGUAUAGCUCUAGUUAAAUUUAAGUGUUUCAUUACUUAUUAAAUUUAGUUAAACUAAGAAUAUAAAUAUUAAAUUAUAGCAGUUAGACUCUUAGCGCUAAGGUUGUGAGUCAAAAGGGAAAAAACCCAGAUCGUAAGCUAAAGCCCCUAAAUUGGAAAUUAGUAUAAAAAAUUAUUUUUUAAUUUAAAAAUUAUAAUAGGUAAGCUUAGAAGCAGCUAUCCAUUAGAGAUCGCGUUUUAGCGUGUUAUUUUUUUUUAAAAAAUAUUAAAAAUGUUGUAAGGUUUUAAUUUUCAUGCUGAAGCAACGAAUCUUACAUAUAAAAGUAAGAUGGUAGCAGAACAUUUUGUAUGCAAAAAAAACUAAAAUGGUAAAUUUUAGUUUUUUACACAAAAGAGAUAAUACUGAUAUGAGUAGCAAAAAUUUUGUAAAACAAACCAAAAUCAUCGUAAAUAAAAGGGUUUCUAUAGAAAAUUAAAUUAUAUAGAGUAAGUCGGUUUCUAAGAAAAUAUACGAAUGUAACAUUUGAUGAAGAAGUGUAUUUACCAUUCUAGUCUUUAUACUUCAUAGUAUAAAUGAAAUUAAUAAUAUAAGAAAUAAUAAUAAAGAUUUUAUCAUUAUAAUACUAUUUUCCAGGAAAAUUGCUAGAUGUAUUGACCGUACCAAAACCGAAACAGGUAUUUUAGUUGAAAAAACAAAGAUGAUUGAGAAAAUUAUGCUUAAGGAACUCGGCAAAUUAAUUCUGUACGUUCGCAAGAAAGAAUACCGUAAAGGUUAUAAUAAAGAAAGAAUAGCGACUGUUUAUCAAAAACAUAGAACUCUGCUAAUUUAAAAAAAGAUGUAUAGGGUUUGACGCCUGCCAGGUGCUUAUCUAAAAAAAUAAUUAGUAUUUUUGCUAAUUUAAUAAUUAUAAGUAAACGGCGGUCUUAACUAUAAGGAUCCUAAGGUAGCGAAAUUCCUCGACGGGUAAAUUCCGUCCUGCAUGAACGGCGUCACGACUAUUCUACUGUCUCAAGCAUAAACUCAGCGAAAUUAUGAUAUCUGUGCAAACACAGAUUGCCCGCAGUUAGACGGAAAGACCCUUUAAUCCUUUACCAUAUUUUUAUAUUGAUUUGCGUUUUAUUUAGUAUAGCAUAGGUGGUAGUGUGAUAACAAAAAUGAAAUACCACUCGAAUAAACCGGAAAUCUAAUUUUAAAAAAAUAAAGUGUAAAAAUUUUGGUUUAUCUGGGGCGGAUACCUCCAAAAGAGCAACGGAGGUGCACUAAGGUAUACUAUAAUUAUAUAUAUGUAAUGGUAAAAAGUAUGCUUAACGGUUAGACCAAUAAGUCGAGCCGAAACGAAAGUUGGUCAUAGUGAUCCGGUAUACGUAUGUGGAAACGUUAUCGCUCAACAAAUAAAAGGAACUUAAGGGAUAACAGAUUAAUCGUGUUUAAGAGUCCAAAUCGACGACACGGCUUGAUACCUCGAUGUCGGCUCAUCUUAACCUAGAGUUGUAGAAAAUUCUAAGGGUUUGGCUGUUCGCCAAAUAAAAAGGUACGUGAGCUGGGUUCAGAACGUUGUGAAACAGUUCGGUCCCUAUCUACUGUGGGGUAGUGAAAAAGAAAAAAUAAUACUUUUAGUACGAGAGGACCAAAGUAAUUUAACCUCUAAUGAAUCAAUUGUUACGCUUGUAGCAUAGUUGAGCAUUUACGUU
RNAcentral lists this ribosomal RNA (2365 nucleotides) under Compsopogon caeruleus. RNAcentral's name for it is "large subunit ribosomal RNA". It matches the Rfam family "Bacterial large subunit ribosomal RNA", at positions 166 to 2755 of the family's 2925-position model. The record is from RNAcentral. Lineage: Eukaryota; Rhodophyta; Compsopogonophyceae; Compsopogonales; Compsopogonaceae.